UAGUAUGUGCCUAGGCUAUGUUGUGCUGUUGCUAUCGAGAUUCCACAUUUGUUGACACCUUUGUUCACAUACCACAGAUGAAGAAAAGUUGACUGGACAUAUAACAGCCUAUCAUUUGUUGAUUUGUAGUCAGUAUAAUAUUCACGAAAAGGCUAGUUCAUUUGUUUUUUUAAGUCAACAAAAACAGAAAAUGAGCAUAGGCUGUCUUGUGUUGGAAACCUGCAGACGUCAGAACUAACUACUUUGGACCUGAAGUUUGCCCAAUGUACCCAGAGUUUCGUCAAUGGCCACUGCGGGAUUUCAUGGAGCCCCCCCCCCAGAUCGCUCACCGCACAGAGGAGCCAGAAACUUCCAGAAGUCAUUUACUAUUUCACACACAACAUGAUAUAAGAAUCUAGAAAAGCAGAAGGAUGGACGGGUGAUAAUAGCUUUUUUUAAUGCAGAACGUUGGCUCAUCUCUUGCGGGCUCCAAAAAGGUCUCAAUAGAGGGAGGGUGUCAUUGUGAUUACCUUGGGACAGAGGAUGGGGUGCGGUCCCUCACCCCCAGGUUCUUUGCUGAGUUUUGAACUCUUGCUCCCUGUUAGAAGAAACACCAGAGAACAUACUUAUUCCUUGUUCCUUCCAAGGAUGUCAGACUUCUGAAAAGGUAAUACAGAGUUGUGGACUCAAGAGUUGUGGACUCAAGUCACACAAUCAAGUUAAUUUGACGGCUUGAGACUUGU
Long non-coding RNA from Anguilla anguilla (European eel), 722 nucleotides. RefSeq lists it as uncharacterized. The record is from RefSeq and is a predicted model, not a curated record. The transcript is spliced from 2 exons. Lineage: Eukaryota; Metazoa; Chordata; Actinopteri; Anguilliformes; Anguillidae.